GAUGAACGCUGGCGGCGUGCCUAAUACAUGCAAGUCGAGCGAACGGACGAGAAGCUUGCUUCUCUGAUGUUAGCGGUGGACGGGAGAGUAACACGUGGAUAACCUCCCUAUAAGACUGGGAUAACUUCGGGAAACCGGCGCUAAUACCGGAUAAUAUCUUGAACCGCAUGGUUCAAUAGUGAAUGACGGUCUUGCUGUCACUAAUCGAUGGAUCUGGGCUGCAUUAGAUAGUUGGUAAGUUCACGGCUUAUCAAGGCAACGAUGCAUAGCCGACGUGCGAGGGUGAUCGGCCGCACGAGAACGGAGCCGCGGACCAGGCGCCUACGGGAGGCAGCAGUAGGGAAUCGUCCGCAGUAGUCGGAAGCCUUGCGGAACAACGCCGCGUGAGUGGUGGAAGUCCUCGGAUCGGAAUACUCUGUUAUUAGGUAAGAACAGAUUUGUAAGUAGCUGAACACAGCGUGACGGUACCUAGUCAGAAAGCCACGGCUAACUACGUG
This 497-nucleotide ribosomal RNA is filed under the name uncultured bacterium. RNAcentral's name for it is "partial 16S ribosomal RNA". It matches the Rfam family "Bacterial small subunit ribosomal RNA", at positions 28 to 507 of the family's 1533-position model. The record is from RNAcentral.